Molecule: ribosomal RNA, 500 nt
Filed under: uncultured bacterium
Lineage: Bacteria
Description: partial 16S ribosomal RNA
Rfam family: Bacterial small subunit ribosomal RNA
Source: RNAcentral
AUUGAACGCUGGCGGCAUGCUUUACACAUGCAAGUCGAACGGUAACAGGGAGCUUGCUCCGCUGACGAGUGGCGAACGGGUGAGUAAUGUAUCGGAACGUACCUUUUAGUGGGGGAUAACGUAGCGAAAGUUACGCUAAUACCGCAUAUUCUCUGAGGAGGAAAGCAGGGGACCUUCGGGCCUUGCGCUAAUAGAGCGGCUGAUAUCAGAUUAGCUAGUUGGGGAGGUAAAGGCUCACCAAGGCGACGAUCUGUAGCGGGUCUGAGAGGAUGGUCCGCCACACUGGAACUGAGACGCGGUCCAGACUCCUACGGGAGGCAGCAGUGGGGAAUUUUGGACAAUGGGGGCAACCCUGAUCCAGCCAUGCCGCGUGAGUGAAGAAGGCCUUCGGGUUGUAAAGCUCUUUCGGCCGGGAAAAAAUCGCAUGGGCUAAUACCCUGUAUGGAUGAUGGUACCGGAAUAAGAAGCACCGGCUAACUACGUGCCAGCAGCCGCAGUAA